Otolemur garnettii (small-eared galago) is the source of this 141-nucleotide small nuclear RNA. Its record names the gene U4. It matches the Rfam family "U4 spliceosomal RNA". From Rfam's summary of the family: U4 small nuclear RNA (U4 snRNA) is a component of the major U2-dependent spliceosome. Lineage: Eukaryota; Metazoa; Chordata; Mammalia; Primates; Galagidae. The record is from Ensembl.
AGCUUUGUGCAGUGACAGUAUUAUAGCCAAGGAGGCUUAUCCAAGUUACAAUUACUGUGAAUUGAAAAUUUUUCUCACUACUUCACCGUGAUGACUUGAAAUAUAGUCAGCACUGGCAAUUUUUGACAGUCUCUACGAUGA